This 429-nucleotide ribosomal RNA is filed under the name Chloroflexota bacterium. Its description in RNAcentral is "Chloroflexi bacterium partial 16S ribosomal RNA". It matches the Rfam family "Bacterial small subunit ribosomal RNA", at positions 355 to 776 of the family's 1533-position model. Lineage: Bacteria; Bacillati; Chloroflexota. The record is from RNAcentral.
UGGGGAAUAUUGCACAAUGGGCGCAAGCCUGAUGCAGCCAUGCCGCGUGUAUGAAGAAGGCCUUCGGGUUGUAAAGUACUUUCAGUCGGGAGGAAGGUGGUAAGGUUAAUAACCUUAUCAAUUGACGUUACCGACAGAAGAAGUACCGGCUAACUCCGUGCCAGCAGCCGCGGUAAUACGGAGGGUGCAAGCGUUAAUCGGAAUUACUGGGCGUAAAGCGCACGCAGGCGGUUGAUUGAGUCAGAUGUGAAAUCCCCGGGCUUAACCCGGGAAUUGCAUCUGAUACUGGUCAGCUAGAGUCUUGUAGAGGGGGGUAGAAUUCCAUGUGUAGCGGUGAAAUGCGUAGAGAUGUGGAGGAAUACCGGUGGCGAAGGCGGCCCCCUGGACAAAGACUGACGCUCAGGUGCGAAAGCGUGGGGAGCAAACAGG